Molecule: long non-coding RNA, 564 nt
Organism: Haliotis rubra (blacklip abalone)
Lineage: Eukaryota; Metazoa; Mollusca; Gastropoda; Lepetellida; Haliotidae
Exons: 3
Source: RefSeq, a predicted model, not a curated record
CUAGGCUCUUUCUCAGAUUUAGAACUGGGCUCUUUCUCAGAUUUAGAACUGGUCUCUUUCUCAGAUUUAGAGCUGGGCUCUUUCUCAGAUUUAGAACUGGUCUCUUUCUCAGAUUUAGAGCUGGGCUCUUUCUCAGAUUUAGAGCUGGGUUCUUUCUCAGAUUUAGAACUGGGCUCUUUCUCAGAGGUAGAACUAGGCUCUUUGCCUGAUUCAGAAGUGGUUUCUUCCUGUGAUUCAAUGCUAGGCACUUUCUCUGAUAUAGAAAUGUUCUCUUUCCCUGAUUUAGAACGGGAAUCUUUCUUCAAUAUGGAACUUUGGUCUUUCUCUGAUUUGGAGCUUGGGUCUUUCUCUGAUUUUGAAUUGGAAUCUUUCUCAGACGUGGAACUAGAAUCUUUGCCUCUUGAGUCAGUCCUUUUAUCACUUUCUGCUUUGAGUUGAGUCUCUUCAGACUUUGGAGUGUCUAUUACAUCUGGCUUUGCCUGAGAAUCUUUCUGUUGCCCCCAUCUACUUUUCCUUCCUGCCUUCUCUUUCUCAUCACUUUUUAUUUCUUGAGCUUUAGUUUCA